UAAGCCAUUUGGCCUAUUGCUCCUUGGA
This 28-nucleotide non-coding RNA is filed under the name Mus musculus (house mouse). Lineage: Eukaryota; Metazoa; Chordata; Mammalia; Rodentia; Muridae. The record is from RNAcentral.